This 477-nucleotide ribosomal RNA is filed under the name uncultured anaerobic ammonium-oxidizing bacterium. RNAcentral's name for it is "bacterial SSU rRNA". It matches the Rfam family "Bacterial small subunit ribosomal RNA", at positions 365 to 832 of the family's 1533-position model. The record is from RNAcentral.
UUCGCAAUGCCCGAAAGGGUGACGAUGCGACGCCGCGUGAGCGAAGAAGGCCCUAGGGUUGUAAAGCUCUGUCGAGGGUUAUGAAAUAUAGAUGGGUUAAUACCCCAUUUAUUUGACAAAAGCCCAAAAGGAAGCCACGGCUAACUCUGUGCCAGCAGCCGCGGUAAUACAGAGGUGGCAAGCGUUGUUCGGAAUUAUUGGGCGUAAAGAGCACGUAGGUGGGUUUAUAAGUCAGAUGUGAAAGCCUUCUGUUCAACGGGAGAAUUGCAUCUGAAACUGUAAGUCUUGAGUAUAGGAGGGGAGAAUGGAACUUCUGGUGGAGCGGUGAAAUGCGUAGAUAUCAGAAGGAACGUCGGCGGCGAAAGCGACUCUCUGGCCUAUUACUGACACUGAGUGUGCGAAAGUUAGGGGAGCAAACGGGAUUAGAUACCCCGGUAGUCCUAACUGUAAGCGAUGGGCACUAAGUAGAGGGGUUUU